GUUGACUCCCUCGACACUCUACCCACAGUCCCCACCCCCAGUAUUCCCAUUUUCCUUUGUUCAAAUCUCAAUUCUCAAAUUCUCAACCCUAGCGACUAACACCAGACAACUGGUUCCACAAUGGUUUAUUCUUCAUUCUCUACUCUCUACAGUGGUUUAAUUCUUGCCCAACAGCCCCACUUCCACUCUUCACUCACCAGCAGUGUAAAGAUUAAUCUUCAUUUUUUUCUUUCCUUCGUUUGCCUCUAAUCUGAUUGUCUCCACUUUUCAUGAUGCUGCAGUGAGGCUAAAAAGGAGUGGGAGUGGGGAGGGAAGACAAGAAAAGGAAACCCAACAAAUAAUUCCUCUUCCGCUCUCUUUUAUUUAUUUGUUAAUCUAUCAAUUCUUCCACCCGCUGGGGUAGCUCCUUCAACUUAUAGCUCACUGCAAUCAUGGCAUUUUUAGUGUGCAUUGAACCCAGAACUUAACUUUAUAAGAAAGGAAGUGCUAGUUUUAUUAGAUCUCUUGCAUCUGUGUUAUUCAAACUACCAAAUCAAAAGAAAAAAUCACUCCACUGUUUUCUGGUAGGCCAUUUGAUGAUAAUUUCUAUAUGAUUUUUUUUCUUCUGAAAACAGGAUUUUCUAAGUGUUUAUUUUGUUGUAUAUGGCCCUUUCUAUUUUUCUUGUUAGAAUUGAUCUAGAUGAAAUGCUAUGUACUUGUAGGUUGUUGCACCAGCUAUGUUGUACGUGUUAAAUCAGGAUAACUUAGACAGCUAAAAGCUUUAUGGAUCUCUGCUGAGAUGAAGUCGAAGGUGGUGCGGUAGGGAUCAGACCAUCGUCAGGACAAGGACGACCCACGGGUGGAGCAGGACGUCACACCAACAAGGUGCCUAGAAAACCCAAUACACGGGAACCUACUUUUGCAAGGAAUCAUGUAGUUGCAUUCUAAAUCACGAUGUAUUUUGUAUGAAUCAAUGUACUGAACGUAUAUCUAUUAUUAGAUCCUUUUUGUUUAAAUUUGUGAUGACUAUUAGUAAGAUAGGAAUGCAAACUCAUGUCUAUGUACGUAUAUUUUUAAUGUGAACUUCUAA
Molecule: long non-coding RNA, 1069 nt
Organism: Populus nigra (black poplar)
Lineage: Eukaryota; Viridiplantae; Streptophyta; Magnoliopsida; Malpighiales; Salicaceae
Exons: 3
Source: RefSeq, a predicted model, not a curated record